Molecule: long non-coding RNA, 260 nt
Filed under: Sinocyclocheilus grahami
Lineage: Eukaryota; Metazoa; Chordata; Actinopteri; Cypriniformes; Cyprinidae
Description: lncRNA (ENSSGRG00000023177.1)
Source: RNAcentral
AAACUGCCAGGCUAAAGAUUGCCAUGGAAACAUGCAGUUUGAGAGUGAGAUAAGAAAUGAUUGAGAGAAUCAAUGUCUAGGGAUAACACAAAGUAUGGCCACAGCAGCAGACAUGACUGCCUGAUGGUCCAAUUCAUUCUAGCCAAGAAUAACAGCGAGAGGAAAGAGUUGAAACAACCUACCAGCUAAACAGGACCCAGCUCACAGUUAAACCUAACACAGAACCAUCACUGACACAUAUAUAUAAAUACGAAGAUCCU